RNAcentral lists this small RNA (726 nucleotides) under Pongo abelii (Sumatran orangutan). RNAcentral's name for it is "retained intron". The record is from RNAcentral. Lineage: Eukaryota; Metazoa; Chordata; Mammalia; Primates; Hominidae.
GGAAAUCGAGACCCUUGUGGAAGAGAAGACCAAGGAGUCACUGGAUGUGAGCAGACUGACCCGGGAAGGUGGCCCCCUGCUGUAUGAAGGCAUCAGUCUCACCAUGAACUCCAAACUCCUGAAUGGUUCCCAGCGGGUGGUGAUGGAUGGCGUAAUCUCUGACCACGAGUGUCAGGAGCUGCAGAGACUGACCAACGUGGCAGCAACCUCAGGAGAUGGCUACCGGGGUCAGACCUCCCCACAUACUCCCAAUGAAAAGUUCUAUGGUGUCACUGUCUUCAAAGCCCUCAAGCUGGGGCAAGAAGGCAAAGUUCCUCUGCAGAGUGCCCACCUGUACUACAACGUGACGGAGAAGGUGCGGCGCAUCAUGGAGUCCUACUUCCGCCUGGAUACGCCCCUCUACUUUUCCUACUCUCAUCUGGUGUGCCGCACUGCCAUCGAAGGUGGGCCUCAUCACCCCUGCAGCACCCCCCACGCGUGCUGCACCUCAGCUCUGUGCUGGAUGCUGAAGACAGAGAGAGAAUAGGAUGCGGUCCCUUUUCUCCAGUUGGGGAACCCAUGUAAACACAUGGGUGGCAUCCCAGUGUGAUGCAUGCCACAUAGCAUGGAGGAAGUUAUAGUCAACCUACCUGGGGAUCAAGAAGGCUUCCCAGAGGGAAACGGGGUGCAGCCAGAAAGGUGGCCACCCCUCACUCGUCACACAAUGCACGUUCAUGGGGAAGCUGG